GAGAAACGGCUACCACAUCCAAGGAAGGCAGCAGGCGCGCAAAUUACCCACUCCCGGAACGGGGAGGUAGUGACGAAAAAUAACAAUACGGGACUCUUUUGAGACCCCGUAAUUGGAAUGAGUACACUCUAAAUCCUUUAACGAUUAUCAAUUGGAGGGCAAGCCAAGUGCCAGCAGCCGCGGUAACACUUGCUCCAAUAGCGUAUAUUAAAGUUGUUGCGGUUAAAAAGCUCGUAGUUGGAUCUCAGUUCUAGUCGGGCGGUCCGCCUAACGGCGGUAACUGCCCGUUCUGAACAGGCCAGCCGGUUUCCCUUGAUGAUCUUCACCGGUUGUCUCGGUUGACCGGCACGUUUACUUUGAAUAAAUUAGAGUGCUCAAAGCAGGCGUGACGCCUGAACAAUGGUGCAUGGAAUAAUGGAAUAGGACCUCGGUUCUAUUUUGUUGGUUUUCGGAACACGAGGUAAUGAUUAAGAGGGACAGACGGGGGCAUUCGUAUUGCGACGUUAGAGGUGAAAUUCUUGGACCGUCGCAAGACGAACUACUGCGAAAGCAUUUGCCAAGAAUGUUUCCAUUAAUCAAGAACGAAAGUUAGAGGUGCGAAGGCGAUCAGAUACCGCCCUAGUUCUAACCAUAAACGAUGACAGCCAGCGUUCCGGCUGUGUUCCUCAAAUGACACGCCGGGAAGCUUCCGGGAAACCAAAGCUUUUGGUUUCCGGGGGUAGUAUGGUUGCAAAGCUGAAACUUAAAGGAAUUGACGGAGGGUCACCACCAGAAAUGGAGCUUGCGGUUCAAUUUGACUCAACGCAGCGAACCCUACCAGGCCAGGACACAGGGAGGAUUGACAGAUUAAGAGCUCUUUCUUGAUUUUGUGGGUAGUGGUGCAUGGCCGC
Molecule: ribosomal RNA, 890 nt
Filed under: Erigone autumnalis
Lineage: Eukaryota; Metazoa; Arthropoda; Arachnida; Araneae; Linyphiidae
Description: SSU rRNA
Rfam family: Eukaryotic small subunit ribosomal RNA
Source: RNAcentral